This 529-nucleotide long non-coding RNA is filed under the name Coffea arabica (coffee). Its description in RNAcentral is "long non-coding RNA (CARA_LNC001018)". Lineage: Eukaryota; Viridiplantae; Streptophyta; Magnoliopsida; Gentianales; Rubiaceae. The record is from RNAcentral.
AAUAGAUUUAAGAAUGGUCAAAGCAGAGUUAGAAGAAUCCGGCCACAGAUUAUGUUUAGCUUGGCUGGAUUCCAGGCGGAAGGUGAAAAUUCGUAGAAUAAAAUGGAGCAUGCAAUCAAGCCGAACUGAAAGACACAACGCGUCCGCAGAUUAUGCCCGGAUCCGUAUGCAACAUGCGUAUCUUGCACUUGGGCAUAUGCAACUUGCGUAUCUUGCACUUUCUUUCAUCCAUCUUCAUGGAUAUGAAGGGAUGAUUUUGGCAGAAGAUUGCAGAUAAGAUGCAAAAGUAGAAUCAAUGGUAAUCUAACCCAUUAGGGUUAGAGAAGCUCCAACAAUUACAAGAAUGGAAGAAGUGUAUUUAGCAAACAAGUUUUUCUCUCAAUACUAGGUGGAGAGUGCCCGCGCAUCGCGCGAGUGUUUGGUACCUGUUGUUAGAAAGAAUAUUUUAUUGGACAAAUAAUAGUACAUUCUGUAAAGAAAUAGUCAUCAAAUAUGACAAAUCUAAUAAUAGUACAUUCUAAUUGCAACA